This 253-nucleotide ribosomal RNA is filed under the name uncultured bacterium. RNAcentral describes it as "partial 16S ribosomal RNA". It matches the Rfam family "Bacterial small subunit ribosomal RNA", at positions 524 to 776 of the family's 1533-position model. The record is from RNAcentral.
UACGUAGGGAGCAAGCGUUGUCCGGAUUCACUGGGUGUAAAGGGUGCGUAGGCGGGAAGGUAAGUCAGUGGUGAAAUCUCACAGCUCAACUGUGAAACUGCCGUUGAUACUGCUUUUCUUGAGUUCGGGAGAGGUUGAUGGAAUUCCAGGUGUAGCGGUGAAAUGCGUAGAUAUCUGGAAGAACACCAGUGGCGAAGGCGGUCAACUGGCCCGAAACUGACGCUGAGGCACGAAAGCGUGGGGAGCGAACAGG